RNAcentral lists this ribosomal RNA (322 nucleotides) under uncultured eukaryote. RNAcentral describes it as "partial 18S ribosomal RNA". It matches the Rfam family "Eukaryotic small subunit ribosomal RNA", at positions 1470 to 1796 of the family's 1831-position model. The record is from RNAcentral.
CCCUUAGAUGUUCUGGGCCGCACGCGUGCUACACUGAACGGUUCAAUGGGUAAGGUAGUGCGAAAGCAUGACCUAAUCUCGAAAUCCGUUCGUGCUGGGGAUAGAAGCUUGCAAUUAUCCUUCUUGAACGAGGAAUACCUUGUAGGCGCAUGUCAUCAUCAUGCGCCGAAUACGUCCCUGCCCUUUGUACACACCGCCCGUCGCUCCUACCGAUUGAGUGAUCCGGUGAGGCUCUGGGACCUGGACGGAAAGAGCGUUUCGCUUGUUCUGUUUGGGAAACUUGGUCGAACCUUAUCAUUUAGAGGAAGGAGAAGUCGUAACA